UUCCUCCUUAGCUCAGUCGGUAGAGCGACGGACUGUUAAUCCGCAGGUCGCUGGUUCGAGCCCAGCAGGAGNAGG
This 75-nucleotide transfer RNA is filed under the name Vibrio vulnificus. Its description in RNAcentral is "tRNA-Asn". It matches the Rfam family "tRNA". Rfam says of the family: Transfer RNA (tRNA) molecules are approximately 80 nucleotides in length. Lineage: Bacteria; Pseudomonadati; Pseudomonadota; Gammaproteobacteria; Vibrionales; Vibrionaceae. The record is from RNAcentral.